UGAGUUUCAGCUCAGGGGUUACCCUUCUAUUGUCCAAGUCAUUAUUUCCUACGGGGACUUGCAUUUCUGCAGGAAUAUCUGGGUGGGGAGUUACUGCUGGACAAGAAAUGUGCAGACAGUAAGUCUGGAGGUAACACAGAGACAAAAGGAUUUCUGGAGGAGAAAAGGGAGUGAAGAGGAUCUGAAGAUGAUGAUGACGGGCACUUCUGAAACGCUCCUCUUACCCCUCUCCAGCAGAGUGGUUUCAGACUAUUGCUUUUAUGAGCUGGCAUUUCCCUUUGUCACUAGUGCAUCAUGU
Long non-coding RNA from Passer domesticus (house sparrow), 298 nucleotides. RefSeq lists it as uncharacterized. The transcript is spliced from 2 exons. The record is from RefSeq and is a predicted model, not a curated record. Lineage: Eukaryota; Metazoa; Chordata; Aves; Passeriformes; Passeridae.